GUCCACGCCUAACGAUGUCAACUAGGUGUUGGAGCGCAAGUUCUCAGUACCGCAGCUAACGCGUGAAGUUGACCGCCUGGGAGUACGGUCGCAAGAUUAAACUCAAGGAAUUGACGGGACCCGCACAAGCGGUGGAUGAUGUGGAUUAAUUCGAUGCAACGCGAACAACCUUACCUACCCUUGACAUGUCUGGGACCCUGCUGAAAGGCGGGUGCCCGAAAGGGACCGACACAGGUGCUGCAUGGCUGUCGU
This 252-nucleotide ribosomal RNA is filed under the name uncultured bacterium. RNAcentral describes it as "partial 16S ribosomal RNA". It matches the Rfam family "Bacterial small subunit ribosomal RNA", at positions 793 to 1055 of the family's 1533-position model. The record is from RNAcentral.